GAUGAACGCUGGCGGCGUGCCUAAUACAUGCAAGUCGAGCGAACAGAUGAGGAGCUUGCUCCUCUGACGUUAGCGGCGGACGGGUGAGUAACACGUGGAUAACCUACCUAUAAGACUGGGAUAACUUCGGGAAACCGGAGCUAAUACCGGAUAAUAUAUUGAACCGCAUGGUUCAAUAGUGAAAGACGGUUUUGCUGUCACUUAUAGAUGGAUCCGCGCCGCAUUAGCUAGUUGGUAAGGUAACGGCUUACCAAGGCAACGAUGCGUAGCCGACCUGAGAGGGUGAUCGGCCACACUGGAACUGAGACACGGUCCAGACUCCUACGGGAGGCAGCAGUAGGGAAUCUUCCGCAAAGGGCGAAAGCCUGACGGAGCAACGCCGCGUGAGUGAUGAAGGUCUUCGGAUCGUAAAACUCUGUUACUAGGGAAGAACAAAUGUGUAAGUAACUAUGCACGUCUUGACGGUACCUAAUCAGAAAGCCACGGCUAACUACGUG
RNAcentral lists this ribosomal RNA (497 nucleotides) under uncultured bacterium. RNAcentral's name for it is "partial 16S ribosomal RNA". It matches the Rfam family "Bacterial small subunit ribosomal RNA", at positions 28 to 507 of the family's 1533-position model. The record is from RNAcentral.